CAAGAUGAGAUUUCCCAUAGCGUAAGCUAGUAAGACUCCUGGAAGAACACCAGGUUGAUAGGUCAGAGAUGUAAGCAUGGCAACAUGUUAAGUUGACUGAUACUAAUAAGUCGAGGGCUUGACCAAAUAA
RNAcentral lists this ribosomal RNA (130 nucleotides) under Clostridium botulinum. RNAcentral describes it as "partial 23S ribosomal RNA". It matches the Rfam family "Bacterial large subunit ribosomal RNA", at positions 2800 to 2925 of the family's 2925-position model. The record is from RNAcentral. Lineage: Bacteria; Bacillati; Bacillota; Clostridia; Eubacteriales; Clostridiaceae. RNAcentral also lists the same sequence under 4 other names.